RNAcentral lists this unclassified non-coding RNA (243 nucleotides) under fungal sp. RNAcentral describes it as "partial internal transcribed spacer region". The stretch from base 1 to 46 matches the Rfam family "Eukaryotic small subunit ribosomal RNA", at positions 1786 to 1831 of the family's 1831-position model. The record is from RNAcentral. Lineage: Eukaryota; Fungi. RNAcentral also lists the same sequence under 1 other name.
AAGUCGUAACAAGGUUUCCGUAGGUGAACCUGCGGAAGGAUCAUUACCGAAGUACAGGCCCUCUCGAGGGCUAAACUUCCACCCUUUGUUUAUUAUACUAUGUUGCUUUGGCGGAUCGCCCUUGGGCCACCGGCUUCGGCUGGUGCGUGUCCGCCAGAGACCUCAAACCCAAACCAUUAUACGUAAUUGUCUGAAAACAAGUUUAAAUUAUUAAAACUUUCAACAACGGAUCUCUUGGCUCUG